Molecule: ribosomal RNA, 460 nt
Filed under: uncultured bacterium
Lineage: Bacteria
Description: partial 16S ribosomal RNA
Rfam family: Bacterial small subunit ribosomal RNA
Source: RNAcentral
CCUACGGGUGGCAGCAGUGAGGAAUAUUGGUCAAUGGCCGUGAGGCUGAACCAGCCAAGUAGCGUGAGGGAAGACUGCCCUAUGGGUUGUAAACCUCUUUUAUCAGGGGGCAAAGGUGCCCACGUGUGGGUGUUUGAGAGUACCGCAUGAAUAAGCAUCGGCUAACUCCGUGCCAGCAGCCGCGGUAAUACGGAGGAUGCGGGCGUUAUCCGGAUUUAUUGGGUUUAAAGGGAGCGUAGGUGGGUCGUUAAGUCAGUCGUGAAAUUUUGCGGCUCAACCAUGAGAGUGCAAUGGGUACUGGAGGCCUUGAGUACACGUAAGGUAGGCGGAAUUCGUGGUGUAGCGGUGAAAUGCUUAGAUAUCACGAAGAACCCCGAUUGCGAAGGCAGCCUGCCAAAGUGCCACUGACACUGAUGCUCGAAAGUGCGGGUAUCAAACAGGAUUAGAUACCCCAGUAGUC